CUUCCGUGUCCUUCUUUGGCUGUCAUAUCUCUUGUGGGUUGUGUGUGAAUGUCCCCACGUGCUUAUGUGUGUGACUCCUCGGCCCUUGUGGGGGAAUUGUAGAUUCUUCAGGAGGUGGCCCCUUGCUGGAGGGAAUGGUCAAUGGGAGUGGGCUUUGAGGGAACACUGAGGGUGCUGUUUUCUCUGCUUCCUCUGCACGGUACAUGUGAUCAGCUGUCUUCCUGUUCCUGCCACUGUGCCUUCUCUGCCUGCUGCCAAGUCUUCUCCUCCAUGAUGACCUUUGCCCCCCGGACCUGUAAUCCAAAUAAACCAUUUUCACCUCGAUUUCUUUUUGUCAGGUUAUUGAUAUCAGAGAAAUGGAAAAGAAACUAAUAUUACGUCCUAUUUUUCUUUGUGCAGAAUGAUCACACAGUUUAUGCCUUAGACUUGAGCACUUUGGUGAGAUUAAAGUGGUCUUCUUUUCAGCAUAGCUUUUCCUGGGAAAUGAGUCUACGUGAAAGCAGCAUGGAGCAGAGCCCAAGCCAUGUUGGAGAAUGACUCCCGUCUAUCACGGGAGGUCAUGGUGGACCUGAUCAUCAGAGAAUCCCGUGAAACAGGAGUGUGUCUACCUAGUGAAAGUCGGUCACUGGCGGCUCGUCUUUGAAGGCUGUAUAUUGUCCACAUCCCUUCCUGUAUUUAAUUUUCUAUUCUUCUUGGCCUCCCUGACGUGACCUUCUCUGCUUUUCCACACAGCUGUUUGGUAACAUAGCUCGCCGCUCACUGGGGAUGUAACGGCACCGACGAAGGUGUUUCUCUGGUCUUUCCAAAGCCGCUCUCUGGGGAUACAACGACACCGACGAAGGUUUUCCGUGGCAUCUUUCCCAAGCAGAGCAGCUCUGCUUCUUGCACGGGCCACUGGUGAGCGUGCUGGAAUUCCGUGGGCAGAAACAAAAAACACACCACUAAGUACAAUUCUGCUGUCCCUGUGCUAUCCUUGGAUUUGGGGGUGCCAACUGGAACAUGGUUGACCCACCAGGAUCCACAUACUGUAGAGGGCUCAACCCUAAAUGGGGGCUCUGUAUCACGCCUUCUCCUUUCCAAGGCUCAGUGAUCACUGAAGAAGAGGACACAGAAAGAUUGUAAGAGCCAGAGGUAUUGGAAGACUACAAGGAACCAAGGAAGCGGUAUUUUCUGGACACAACAGGACAGCUGAACAUAUGAAUUCACAGUAGCUGUGACACCAUGCAUAAGACAUGCAGGAGUUCAAGCCAGGCAAGAGCCCAGCAUGGAGAGGAGAGCGGCCCAUGGAGGCCCACCCCCAACUGAAAGCUAUUGGCAACUGGCAGCUUUUGGGGGAGGAAGAAUCUAUCCUUUUCGUGUUCUUUUUCUUCCAAAGUUUUUAUUGAUUCUUUGUGGAUUUCACAUCAUACACCCCUAUCUCAUUCAGCUCUGCCCCUUUGUAUCUGCCCUCUGCCCUUAUAACAUCCUCCAAAUAAAGUAAAAUAAAAUUUAAA
Non-coding RNA from Myodes glareolus (Bank vole), 1493 nucleotides. The record is from RefSeq and is a predicted model, not a curated record. NCBI's taxonomy places the organism in Eukaryota, Metazoa, Chordata, Mammalia, Rodentia, Cricetidae.